CUUAGAGAGCGGAUGAUAGAACUAGAGCAUUAACGUCCGUUGUUAUCGCUAGUCCCCGGGACUUAGACUUCUUUCUUUGAGAUGUAGCUUGCCAAAGCUUCUUGACUUCUUGCCUAAGUCUAUGCUAACUCUCCUUUUAGCUCUUAAGGGGUUUUGCUUAGCUUCCUUCUAAUUGGCUUUAGCAGAUGAGCGGGAUGAGCUACUAGGGAAGAGAGUUACUUACUCAGCAGUACGGAAAGAGAAUCGAAGUGCUUAGAGGCAACCAUUAGAGGGAUGACAAGCUUUAUCAUCACUCGAUGCGCACACAAAUGGGUCUUUAAUCUUCCAGGUCAACCGUAAAAUAAUACAAUGUUCUUCCAUAACCUUAGCUUGCCUUAUUAGUUAGUAUAGUAGUUAAGGUCAGUAGAGCGGGAAGAAAUUAACCAAGCAAAGGAUACUGAAACCCAUGAAGCAAACAACGGCUACCAGAAGAGUGUCAUCCGUUUUCCUACAGGACAGUUGCGAGAAAGCAAUUCUCGAUAGAGGAGAGUACGACAGAAGACAGGGCCAGACGAGAUAUUGAAAGGCUUGAAUGGACAGGUAAGGGGCGAGACGGAUUUCACCUACCAGGCACAGGACUUAUUGGCUUAAGAAGCAAGCCAAAGCUUUAGAAGAGUCGCCCGGUCAUCCUUUGUUGCUUGCUUUGGGCUCAUCUCGGUGCUUGGUCUCUUCGAUAUGCUAUGAAAGAUCUCUCCUCCUGGUAGACGGAGGAGUUAGAGGCUGGCAGUUAACCAUUCGCUAUGUGGAAUUCCUUUUCUAAAAGUAUGAUUCCCUCGGAAAGGGUAUUAACUCUUGCAACAGUCGUAAUCGGUCUUUCCUGUAUUCAGGACUCGGGCUAUAUGCCCUCUUUUUGAUAGUGAAAAGCUUUUGGGCUUUAUUAUUCGGCGGUAGCUCGUCGGAGGAAUGCCACUACGAAGCUUCUUCCCGGGCAAACUUUCUAGCCGUAACCAGAAUACUCCCUCCCGGGCAAGUGGAUCAAAAGAGAAAAGAGGAAUACGACUGGCUGGAAUGCACCCACCAGUUUUCCAAUGAUGG
This 1074-nucleotide long non-coding RNA is filed under the name Fragaria vesca (wild strawberry). Its description in RNAcentral is "long non-coding RNA (FVES_LNC004291)". The record is from RNAcentral. Lineage: Eukaryota; Viridiplantae; Streptophyta; Magnoliopsida; Rosales; Rosaceae.